UACAGAGGGUGCAAGCGUUGUUCGGAAUUAUUGGGCGUAAAGCGCGUGUAGGCGGCUUUGCAAGUCGGGUGUGAAAGCCCUCAGCUUAACUGAGGAAGUGCGCCCGAAACUGCAUUGCUUGAGUACCGGAGAGGGUGGCGGAAUUCCCCAAGUAGAGGUGAAAUUCGUAGAUAUGGGGAGGAACACCGGUGGCGAAGGCGGCCACCUGGACGGAUACUGACGCUGAGACGCGAAAGCGUGGGGAGCAAACAGG
Molecule: ribosomal RNA, 253 nt
Filed under: uncultured bacterium
Lineage: Bacteria
Description: partial 16S ribosomal RNA
Rfam family: Bacterial small subunit ribosomal RNA
Source: RNAcentral